This 390-nucleotide ribosomal RNA is filed under the name uncultured bacterium. RNAcentral describes it as "bacterial SSU rRNA". It matches the Rfam family "Bacterial small subunit ribosomal RNA", at positions 28 to 417 of the family's 1533-position model. The record is from RNAcentral.
GACGAACGCUGGCGGCGUGCUUAACACAUGCAAGUCGAGCGGUAAGGCCCUUUCGGGGGUACGACGAGCGGCGAACGGGUGAGUAACACGUGGGUGACCUGCCCUCAGCUCUGGGAUAAGCCUGGGAAACCGGGUCUAAUACCGGAUAUGACUCCAUGACGCAUGUUGUGGGGUGGAAAGCCUUGUGCGGCUGAGGAUGGGCCCGCGGCCUAUCAGCUUGUUGGUGGGGUGAUGGCCUACCAAGGCGACGACGGGUAGCCGGCCUGAGAGGGCGACCGGCCACACUGGGACUGAGACACGGCCCAGACUCCUACGGGAGGCAGCGAGUGGGGAAUCUUGCGCAAUGGGCGAAAGCCUGACGCAGCGACGCCGCGUGAGGGAUGACGGCCU